AAACCUUAAUUCCAAACUAGUUGGCAUUAGCUAUAUGAAUUUUUAUCCUCCAUCCCAGUAAUUUAAGACUACAUCUUUAGAAAGAUCUAGAGUAGCCAAACCUGUUUUUACUACCCUCCCCCCACAUCAAUGUGAAUCACUUGUAUUUACUUUUGUGAAAAUAUUAAGCUUAACAUGUAAUUAUUGUUCUCCCUUCUUUUUGGCAUGUUUGAGUCCAACACCUACCUUCGAAAUCCAGUGCAUUUGACAUGAUGAAUGUUGGUUUUGGCUUCUGAAAUUUUGUGAUGUGGCUUGUGGGAUACUCAUCCUAUCUGUCACUGGAUGUGUCAACCCUAGAAAGAAGUUGAAUUUUGCAAAAUCUAUUGUCACUUAAGCAACAUUUUAAUUUUUGGAAGCAUUGUCUUCAUAAGGUAGGUAGUGCUAUUGCUUGAUUUCAAAACUCUUCCAUCAGGUCUCAACUCUCAAUUGGCCAUAAAAAAUGGUAUUGAACUUGCAGCUGUGCAUUCAGUAAAACAAAUGAGUGAACCACAUUCAAACUAGGAGCUUAG
This 548-nucleotide unclassified non-coding RNA is filed under the name Hevea brasiliensis (rubber tree). Lineage: Eukaryota; Viridiplantae; Streptophyta; Magnoliopsida; Malpighiales; Euphorbiaceae. The record is from RNAcentral.